Molecule: ribosomal RNA, 505 nt
Filed under: uncultured bacterium
Lineage: Bacteria
Description: partial 16S ribosomal RNA
Rfam family: Bacterial small subunit ribosomal RNA
Source: RNAcentral
GACGGACGCUGGCGGCGUGCCUAAUACAUGCAAGUAGAACGCACAGUUUAUACCGUAGCUUGCUACACCAUAGACUGUGAGUUGCGAACGGGUGAGUAACGCGUAGGUAACCUGCCUGGUAGCGGGGGAUAACUAUUGGAAACGAUAGCUAAUACCGCAUAAUAUUAAUUAUUGCAUGAUAAUUAAUUGAAAGGUGCAAUUGCACCACUACCAGAUGGACCUGCGUUGUAUUAGCUAGUAGGUGAGGUAACGGCUCACCUAGGCGACGAUACAUAGCCGACCUGAGAGGGUGAUCGGCCACACUGGGACUGAGACACGGCCCAGACUCCUACGGGAGGCAGCAGUAGGGAAUCUUCGGCAAUGGACGAAAGUCUGACCGAGCAACGCCGCGUGAGAGAAGAAGGUUUUCGGAUCGUAAAGCUCUGUUGUAAGAGAAGAACGGGUGUGAGAGUGGAAAGUUCACACUGUGACGGUAUCUUACCAGAAAGGGACGGCUAACUACGUG